GACGAACGCUGGCGGCGUGCUUAACACAUGCAAGUCGAACGGAAAGGCCCUGCUUGCAGGGUACUCGAGUGGCGAACGGGUGAGUAACACGUGGGUGAUCUGCCCUGCACUUCGGGAUAAGCCUGGGAAACUGGGUCUAAUACCGGAUAGGAGCCAUUUUUAGUGUGAUGGUUGGAAAAUUUUUUCGGUGUAGGAUGAGCUCGCGGCCUAUCAGCUUGUUGGUGGGGUAAUGGCCUACCAAGGCGGCGACGGGUAGCCGGCCUGAGAGGGUGGACGGCCACAUUGGGACUGAGAUACGGCCCAGACGCCUACGGGAGGCAGCAGUGGGGAAUAUUGCACAAUGGGCGCAAGCCUGAUGCGGCGACGCCGCGUGGGGGAUGACGGCCUUCGGGUUGUAAACUCCUUUCGCUAGGGACGAAGCUUUUUGUGACGGUACCUAGAUAAGAAGCACCGGCUAACUACGUG
Molecule: ribosomal RNA, 465 nt
Filed under: uncultured bacterium
Lineage: Bacteria
Description: partial 16S ribosomal RNA
Rfam family: Bacterial small subunit ribosomal RNA
Source: RNAcentral